AAUAUACCGGUUCUCGUUAGAUCACCGAAGUUAAGCAUCAUUGGGCGCGGUCAGUACUUGGAUGGGUGACCACCUGGGAACACUGCGUGCCGUU
This 94-nucleotide ribosomal RNA is filed under the name Caerostris darwini. Lineage: Eukaryota; Metazoa; Arthropoda; Arachnida; Araneae; Araneidae. The record is from RNAcentral.